AUUGAACGCUGGCGGCAGGCCUAACACAUGCAAGUCGGACGGUAGCACAGAGAGCUUGCUCUUGGGUGACGAGUGGCGGACGGGUGAGUAAUGUCUGGGGAUCUGCCCGAUAGAGGGGGAUAACCACUGGAAACGGUGGCUAAUACCGCAUAACGUCGCAAGACCAAAGAGGGGGACCUUCGGGCCUCUCACUAUCGGAUGAACCCAGAUGGGAUUAGCUAGUAGGCGGGGUAAUGGCCCACCUAGGCGACGAUCCCUAGCUGGUCUGAGAGGAUGACCAGCCACACUGGAACCGAGACACGGUCAGACUCCUACGGGAGGCAGCAGUGGGGAAUAUUGCACAAUGGGCGCAAGCCUGCUGCAGCCAUGCCGCGUGUAUGAAGAAGGCCUUCGGGUUGUAAAGUACUUUCAGCGGGGAGGAAGGCGGUGAGGUUAAUAACCUCACCGAUUGACGUUACCCGCAGAAGAAGCACCGGCUAACUCCGUGCCAGCAGCCGCAGUAA
RNAcentral lists this ribosomal RNA (503 nucleotides) under uncultured bacterium. Its description in RNAcentral is "partial 16S ribosomal RNA". It matches the Rfam family "Bacterial small subunit ribosomal RNA", at positions 29 to 523 of the family's 1533-position model. The record is from RNAcentral.